AUUGAACGCUGGCGGCAUGCCUUACACAUGCAAGUCGAACGGCAGCACGGGAGCAAUCCUGGUGGCGAGUGGCGAACGGGUGAGUAAUAUAUCGGAACGUGCCCAGUCGUGGGGAUAACGUAGCGAAAGCUACGCUAAUACCGCAUACGAUCUAUGGAUGAAAGCGGGGGAUCGCAAGACCUCGCGCGAUUGGAGCGGCCGAUAUCAGAUUAGGUAGUUGGUGAGGUAAAGGCUCGCCAAGCCGACGAUCUGUAGCUGGUCUGAGAGGACGACCAGCCACACUGGGACUGAGACACGGCCCAGACUCCUACGGGAGGCAGCAGUGGGGAAUUUUUGGACAAAUGGGCGCAAGCCUGAUCCAGCAAUGCCGCGUGCAGGAUGAAGGCCUUCGGUUGUAACUAGCUUUGUACGGUAACG
RNAcentral lists this ribosomal RNA (417 nucleotides) under uncultured bacterium. RNAcentral describes it as "bacterial SSU rRNA". It matches the Rfam family "Bacterial small subunit ribosomal RNA", at positions 30 to 447 of the family's 1533-position model. The record is from RNAcentral.